UAUUAGCACGAGUACCAACUGUGCAAACAGUUCGACAUGUGUUUUGAAAAUAUGAUAAAGUUGGCAUUACUGUUUGCCAUAUGGAAAUACUUGUUUUUACUCUCUACAUCUACGCUCUCUCUCUAUCUCUCUCCCUCUUUGUUCUAAGCCACAUGGCUUUUGUUCUGUGUUGUAUUUAACAAAAAUAGCAUGAGUUUUUUCUUUUAUUCGUUAUUUUCUAAACAUGGAGUGAGAGAAGGAGAUGCAAUUAAAGCAGCAGCAACAACAAUUUGUGGAAUGAGAUUUUCCCUUUCAUUUGGAAAAUGAAAACUAGUUUACCACCACCAGCAUUUCCAUAAUUGGUUACAAUGGAAGAUGGAGUGCGCCUUGAUUUAGUAUAAUUCUGGUAGACGAUUAUCGUGUCAUCUUGCAUUUUCAGUUAAAUUGACAAUAAAUGCAUUGCAGGGAA
Musca domestica (house fly) is the source of this 448-nucleotide long non-coding RNA. RefSeq lists it as uncharacterized. The record is from RefSeq and is a predicted model, not a curated record. NCBI's taxonomy places the organism in Eukaryota, Metazoa, Arthropoda, Insecta, Diptera, Muscidae. The transcript has 2 exons.